CUUUUCCUUGGCGAGUUACUGCCCUGUGUUUUAGACAGAUCUGCAGAAUGAGAGACAUCAUCCAAG
Molecule: unclassified non-coding RNA, 66 nt
Filed under: Mus musculus (house mouse)
Lineage: Eukaryota; Metazoa; Chordata; Mammalia; Rodentia; Muridae
Description: partial derived from hnRNA or mRNA fragment, or novel small non-messenger RNA without known sequence-or structural motifs
Source: RNAcentral